RNAcentral lists this ribosomal RNA (259 nucleotides) under uncultured archaeon. RNAcentral describes it as "partial 16S ribosomal RNA". It matches the Rfam family "Archaeal small subunit ribosomal RNA", at positions 748 to 1008 of the family's 1478-position model. The record is from RNAcentral.
AGGGUGUAAACGCUGCAGACUUGGUGUUGGAAGUCCUUUGGGGGCAUUCAGUGCCGGAGAGAAGUUGUUAAGUCUGCUACUUGGGGAGUACGUCCGCAAGGAUGAACUUAAAGGAAUUGGCGGGGGAGCACCGCAACGGGAGGAGCGUGCGGUUUAAUUGGAUUCAACACCGUAAACUCACCAGGGAAGACUGUUACAUGAGAGCCGAGAUGAAGACUCUGCUAGAUUUUCAGAGAGGAGGUGCAUGGCGUCAGUGACU